CCUACGGGAGGCAGCAGUGGGGAAUAUUGCACAAUGGGGGAAACCCUGAUGCAGCAACGCCGCGUGAGUGAUGACGGCCUUCGGGUUGUAAAGCUCUGUCUUCAGGGACGAUAAUGACGGUACCUGAGGAGGAAGCCACGGCUAACUACGUGCCAGCAGCCGCGGUAAUACGUAGGUGGCGAGCGUUGUCCGGAUUUACUGGGUGUAAAGGGAGCGUAGGCGGACUUUUAAGUGAGAUGUGAAAUGCUCGGGCUCAACUUGAGUGCUGCAUUUCAAACUGGAAGUCUAGAGUGCAGGAGAGGAGAAGGGAAUUCCUAGUGGAGCGGUGGAAUGCGUAGGGAUUAAGGAGAACACCAGUGGCGAAGGCGGUUCGCUGGACUGUAACUGAAGCUGAGGGUCGAAAGCGUGGGGAGCAAACAGGAAUAGAUACCCUGGUAGUUC
This 441-nucleotide ribosomal RNA is filed under the name uncultured bacterium. RNAcentral's name for it is "partial 16S ribosomal RNA". It matches the Rfam family "Bacterial small subunit ribosomal RNA", at positions 338 to 796 of the family's 1533-position model. The record is from RNAcentral.